This 253-nucleotide ribosomal RNA is filed under the name uncultured bacterium. RNAcentral describes it as "partial 16S ribosomal RNA". It matches the Rfam family "Bacterial small subunit ribosomal RNA", at positions 524 to 776 of the family's 1533-position model. The record is from RNAcentral.
UACGUAGGGUGCAAGCGUUGUCCGGAAUUAUUGGGCGUAAAGAGCUCGUAGGUGGUCUGUCGCGUCGGCUGUGAAAACUCGGGGCUCAACCCCGAGCCUGCAGUCGAUACGGGCAGACUUGAGUGCGGUAGGGGAGACUGGAAUUCCUGGUGUAGCGGUGAAAUGCGCAGAUAUCAGGAGGAACACCGGCGGCGAAGGCGGGUCUCUGGGCCGUAACUGACACUGAGGAGCGAAAGCGUGGGGAGCGAACAGG